This 206-nucleotide long non-coding RNA is filed under the name Lathyrus oleraceus (garden pea). RNAcentral's name for it is "Pisum sativum (pea) long non-coding RNA (PSAT_LNC011663)". The record is from RNAcentral. Lineage: Eukaryota; Viridiplantae; Streptophyta; Magnoliopsida; Fabales; Fabaceae.
ACAAUCUUGAUAAAAUGCCAGGCCAACCAGUCUUUUGCAUCAGUUGAAAUUGGUUGGUAUUGUUGUUGCUACUUCUGUUUACAGUAGCAGGAAAUCAUGCUUCUGUAUGCUGUUUGCUGUUGUUCUAAACAAAACCAUGUCUUGCAACUUUUGGGUUUUUGACAGAUUGUGUGUAAAAAUGCCAAGAUGAGCUUGAGAGAAUGAGA